GACAGAGGGUGCAAACGUUGUUCGGAAUUACUGGGCGUAAAGCGAGUGUAGGCGGUUUGAAAAGUCGGGUGUGAAAGCCCUGGGCUCAACCCAGGAAGUGCACUCGAUACUCUCAAGCUAGAGUAUCGGAGAGGUUGGUGGAAUUCUCGGUGUAGAGGUGAAAUUCGUAGAUAUCGAGAGGAACACCGGUGGCGAAGGCGGCCAACUGGACGAAUACUGACGCUGAGACUCGAAAGCGUGGGGAGCAAACAGGAUUAGAUACCCGUGUAGU
RNAcentral lists this ribosomal RNA (271 nucleotides) under uncultured bacterium. RNAcentral describes it as "partial 16S ribosomal RNA". It matches the Rfam family "Bacterial small subunit ribosomal RNA", at positions 524 to 794 of the family's 1533-position model. The record is from RNAcentral.